AGCUACGGCCAUGCCACCCUGAACAAGCCUGAUCUUGUCUGAUCUUGGAAGCUAAGCAGGGUCGGGCCUGGUUAGUACUGGGAUGAGAGACUACCAAGAAAGACCAGAUGCUGUAGACA
This 119-nucleotide ribosomal RNA is filed under the name Pteropus alecto (black flying fox). The record is from RNAcentral. Lineage: Eukaryota; Metazoa; Chordata; Mammalia; Chiroptera; Pteropodidae.